CUUUCGCAGCCCGAGCUGAAUGGAGCUCAUUUUUUUGUGAGGGAAAAGCAUUGGCAAAAAAUAGCGGGAAUGGAGCGCGGAAAAGCUG
This 88-nucleotide unclassified non-coding RNA is filed under the name Epilithonimonas lactis. RNAcentral describes it as "Chryseobacterium halperniae Flavo-1 RNA". The record is from RNAcentral. Lineage: Bacteria; Pseudomonadati; Bacteroidota; Flavobacteriia; Flavobacteriales; Weeksellaceae.